Molecule: long non-coding RNA, 1143 nt
Organism: Perca fluviatilis (European perch)
Lineage: Eukaryota; Metazoa; Chordata; Actinopteri; Perciformes; Percidae
Exons: 5
Source: RefSeq, a predicted model, not a curated record
UUUUAUUGUCCCAAUGGCCUUUAAUUACACAUGUAGGCUAAAUUGUUAUACGACUGCAAUUCACCUAUCAUGCAGCUCGUGAUAAGCACACAAGUUAAAGUUGAGACUUAAAAGUUGUUCGGUUUGUUAAUGUUCAGCUCAGCUCCUGAUAGCAAGAUAUUCCAGUCAGUGUGUACCUGUCCCGGGACAUCUCCUGCCCCAUGAGAGGAAAUGCUAUGUUCUGUUGUUGUCGAAAACAUUUGAAACGUGAGUUAUCUGACUGAAAUAAAUAUUCAGUAAAUAUACUGUAAAUUUCCUUUGGGAUGAAUGAAGUAUCGAUCUAUUUAUACAGUGAAAACUCCAAAAUCCAGAUCUGCAACACACAGGAAACAAAGUGAGCACACCAACGACCAAAAGGACAAAUAUUUUUUUUGAGGGACUUCGAUAACUGCACUCCGAGUGGAGCUGAGUUGUUGACACACACAACAGGCGCCCCGCCAUCUCUUGUUGCUGUUGUUGCUGCUGUUGCUGCCCUAGCCUUGUCUACAGUGAAUUAUUACACAAAAGAUGAGAAAAUGGACAAAGCAGAGACAAAUCCACUGUUACAACAGUCACAGAAGGAAAAAGAAAAUGUGCCCAAUAUAUUGAUGGAGAAGAAUCCCACAAAGCUGAGCAUGACAGAUGGACUGUUCUUUGAACCUGCAUUCAUUGUCGUCAGUGGAUCAAUGACCCUUGACACCGUCUUCAUCCUUCUGCUUAGACACACGUGGGGAGCUGAUUUGGUUGAAUCCAUUUCCACAGUGUGUCACCACAUGAGCCUGGGUGGUGUCCUGGUUGAUAUGGCUUUAAGUUUUAUUCUAGCUGCUUAUGCCAAGUACAGAUGGAAACGUAAGUCACAGUUCUAUUUAUCUAUCCCAGUUUUAUUAUAUAUCUUAUUUGUGUUAUAUGUCUUUUUUUAUAUGUUGUUUAAGUUAUGUUUUGUUAUGUGUGGACCCCAGGAAGAGUUUUAGUGCUAUUUUACUGGGAGCUAAUGGGGAUCCGAAUUUCAUAUCCAAUAAAGGCUUGACUGUAACUGCUGUGCCGAUGAAGAAAAGUAAAUAGUGUUACGCAGCAUUAUUUACAUGUAUACGUUAUAAAAACUAACCAAGGGUUAAUCAUUUAAAA